Molecule: ribosomal RNA, 467 nt
Filed under: uncultured bacterium
Lineage: Bacteria
Description: partial 16S ribosomal RNA
Rfam family: Bacterial small subunit ribosomal RNA
Source: RNAcentral
GACGAACGCUGGCGGCGUGCUUAACACAUGCAAGUCGAACGAUGACGACCGAGCUUGCUCGGUCUGAUUAGUGGCGAACGGGUGAGUAACACGUGAGCAACCUGCCCUUCACUCUGGGAUAACCUCGGGAAAUCGGGGCUAAUACCGGAUAUGAGCUCCUGUCGCAUGGCGGGUGUUGGAAAGUUUUUCGGUGAAGGAUGGGCUCGCGGCCUAUCAGUUUGUUGGUGAGGUAGUGGCUCACCAAGGCGAUGACGGGUAGCCGGCCUGAGAGGGCGACCGGCCACACUGGGACUGAGACACGGCCCAGACUCCUACGGGAGGCAGCAGUGGGGAAUAUUGCACAAUGGGCGAAAGCCUGAUGCAGCGACGCCGCGUGAGGGAUGACGGCCUUCGGGUUGCAAACCUCUUUCAGCAGGGAAGAAGCGAAAGUGACGGUACCUGCAGAAGAAGCGCCGGCUAACUACGUG